UACGUAGGGUGCAAGCGUUAAUCGGAAUUACUGGGCGUAAAGCGUGCGCAGGCGGCGUUGUAAGACAGUUGUGAAAUCCCCGGGCUCAACCUGGGAACUGCAUCUGUGACUGCAUCGCUGGAGUGCGGCAGAGGGGGAUGGAAUUCCGCGUGUAGCAGUGAAAUGCGUAGAUAUGCGGAGGAACACCGAUGGCGAAGGCAAUCCCCUGGGCCUGCACUGACGCUCAUGCACGAAAGCGUGGGGAGCAAACAGG
RNAcentral lists this ribosomal RNA (253 nucleotides) under uncultured bacterium. RNAcentral describes it as "partial 16S ribosomal RNA". It matches the Rfam family "Bacterial small subunit ribosomal RNA", at positions 524 to 776 of the family's 1533-position model. The record is from RNAcentral.